CCACAUGGCCUGCAUCAGGCUCUUUCGCAGGCUGCUUUUGUCUCUUUGUUACAUUAUGAAUCCUCUUUGAACACAUGUGGCCGUCGGCACAACACAAACUGAAGAAAGAUUUCAAGUGGCUGGUGACACUCUUUCUCUCUCCCUUGUCCCCUCCUUCCUCUUCUAAUUUAGGGAACUGUGUGUAGGUGGCGGAGAUCCAGGCUUCUGGUCUUUGCAUGUCAAUGCUCAAAAAUAUCUCCCCAUCCUUCCUCUCCUGGCCAGCCUGCAUGGACAGGCAUGUCCCUGUCCCUCCUUCUUAUGGGGAAGCUCGGGUAGGCCUGGGGUGUCAUUCACUCCAGAAGUAACACCUCUGGAGGUGAGGCCAAAAGAGCCCGCUGAACAACUGCCGGGUUAACAACUGCACAUGUGGGGUGCGGCUGCACGAGGCUCUGCUGGGGCCUCCUUGCACAGACAGUCAGCCGGUGGUGUUAAUGUGCUGUGUUAAAAGUGACACCAGAGCGCUGCAGGCGCCACUGUCAGCUGUUGCGGGAGAUGACACCCCGGCCUGCAGAAUUGGGUGCGAGCUCAGAGCAGCGGCCCUCCCCCUCACUUGGGUCCCAGGAUCCUGGAGACCCGUGGGAAGGGGUUCAGGAGAGGUAGCCUGCUGAAGGAGGGCUUUGUCCUCAGCUUGCAAUGAGUAGGAUGCAGGUUAUGGGAACAGUGAAGUCAAAAGGCUGAAGGGACAGGUUAGGGCCAGGAAGGAAAAUGUCCAUGCUGAGAGCUCAGGGCUCUCUCCUCCCAGGCCUUCCCUCUUUUGCUUCCUCCCUCUUUCCCCUAGCCAUGCCUUCUUUCUUUCUGAAUACAGCUCUCACUAGGCCAGGCUGACCUUAAAGUUGCUAUAUAUAGUCCAGGAUGAUCUUCAACCCCUGAUCUUUCUGCCUCCUCUUCACAAGUGCUGAUUCCAGGCGGGCACCAGCACAGCCAGUUUACACAGUGCUGGGGAUAGAACCCAGAGCCUUGUGUAUGCCAGGCCAGCACUCCACCAAAUAAGCCACACCUCUAGCCCUCAAACUCUCAUUCCAGUGCCUCUGCUGGGUCUCCAUGGAGCAGCUGUGGUUUUCACAUGACGCUAUGGACAACUUCUGAGGUUUACAAGUCAGACAUGAACAUGUACAGGCUUGGAGUGACUAAAAAGGAAGGCAGCAAACACUCUCAUCUGGUGUUGGGGUGGAUGGGCAAAUGCCAGGAGUUUCAGAGGACUUUGAAGGAGAAUGACACUGGAGGCCUUGAGUUCAGUCACCAGAACCAUGUAAGAGAGCUGGACACAGUGGAAUGCACUUGUAACCUCAAAUCGAAGGAGGGGAAGACAGCCCAACUGUCAACCAACGCGGCUGUGCGAGCCAGGAAUGAAUAUUCCCAAAGCGCCAACAGAAGGAAGUGCUUCACAAAAACGGAGCCCGAGGGCGUGAAGGGAAAACAAGCCCUGUUCACACGCA
RNAcentral lists this long non-coding RNA (1475 nucleotides) under Cricetulus griseus (Chinese hamster). RNAcentral describes it as "lncRNA (ENSCGRG00015029972.1)". The record is from RNAcentral. Lineage: Eukaryota; Metazoa; Chordata; Mammalia; Rodentia; Cricetidae.